AGGUAUGCGUGGGGCCGAAAAAUUUUGAUCAUGAAGAAGGAUGUAUCAGACAUCAAUUAGGAUUUUCGCUGAUGGAUUGAUUUUACUAUAAUUCAUUGUUCUAAUAUGAUUAGAGUUUAAUGAUUAUAGAUUAAAUCAAAAUCUUUGUUCUAAUAUGAUUAGAAGCCAUGUUUAAUUUUGGUUAAUCAAAUUUUAUCAUUUACCUAAUUGGAUUAGGGUUUGAGUUAUGGGUGACUGAAUCUAAGUUAACCUAAUUAAAUUAGGUUUAACUUAAGAAUUGGUCAACCUAACUCAUAUGGAUGAUAAAUGAUUGACCUAAUAUUGAACUUUGCAUCAAGUAUUGAACCCGAAUCGGAAACCCU
This 362-nucleotide long non-coding RNA is filed under the name Elaeis guineensis (African oil palm). Its description in RNAcentral is "long non-coding RNA (EGUI_LNC043473)". The record is from RNAcentral. Lineage: Eukaryota; Viridiplantae; Streptophyta; Magnoliopsida; Arecales; Arecaceae.